GGGGAGUUCGGCAGGCCGCGGUCAUCCGCUCACAUGUUUAGUGUUUUACUCACAGCUCGUACUUUUACACAAAAUGAUGGCUGCUAAUUGUAUUGCAGCCAUCAGGUCCUUCUCUUCCAACAAUACUAAAGCAGUGAUCCCCAACCAGUGGCUCAGGAGCGGCAUGCUGCUCCCCAUCACCUUGGAUGUUGCUCCCAGUGGCCUCAAAGCAGGUGCUUACUUCUGAAAUCCUGGCUUGGAGGCAUAAGGACCAUGGAGCACAUCCAUCAAUGUACAAUUGAGUCUGAAUACUAAAAAUUAAUUUUUUCUCUAA
Xenopus tropicalis (tropical clawed frog) is the source of this 313-nucleotide long non-coding RNA. RefSeq lists it as uncharacterized. Lineage: Eukaryota; Metazoa; Chordata; Amphibia; Anura; Pipidae. The transcript has 2 exons. The record is from RefSeq and is a predicted model, not a curated record.